UACGAAGGGGGCUAGCGUUGCUCGGAAUCACUGGGCGUAAAGCGCACGUAGGCGGCUUCUUAAGUCAGGGGUGAAAUCCUGGAGCUCAACUCCAGAACUGCCUUUGAUACUGAGGAGCUUGAGUCCGGGAGAGGUGAGUGGAACUCCGAGUGUAGAGGUGAAAUUCGUAGAUAUUCGCAAGAACACCAGUGGCGAAGGCGGCUCACUGGGCCGGUACUGACGCUGAGAUGCGAAAGCGUGGGGAGCAAACAGG
RNAcentral lists this ribosomal RNA (253 nucleotides) under uncultured bacterium. RNAcentral's name for it is "partial 16S ribosomal RNA". It matches the Rfam family "Bacterial small subunit ribosomal RNA", at positions 524 to 776 of the family's 1533-position model. The record is from RNAcentral.